AUUGAACGCUGGCGGCAGGCCUAACACAUGCAAGUCGAACGGUAACAGGAAGCAGCUUGCUGCUUCGCUGACGAGUGGCGGACGGGUGAGUAAUGUCUGGGAAGCUGCCUGAUGGAGGGGGAUAACUACUGGAAACGGUAGCUAAUACCGCAUAAUGUCGCAAGCCCAAAGAGGGGGACCUUCGGGCCUCUUGCCAUCGGAUGUUCCCAGAUGGGAUUCGCUUGUUGGUGGGGUAACGGCUCACCAAGGCGACGAUCCCUAGCUGGUCUGAGAGUAUGACCAGCCACACUGGAACUGAGACACGGUCCAGACUCCUACGGGAGGCAGCAGUGGGGAAUAUUGCACAAUGGGCGCAAGCCUGAUGCAGCGAGGGCGCGUGUAUGAAGAAGGCCUUCGGGUUGUAAAGUACGUUCAGCGGGGAGGAAGGGAGUAAAGUUAAUACCUUUGCUCAUUGACGUUACCCGCAGAAGAAGCACCGGCUAACUCCGUG
This 490-nucleotide ribosomal RNA is filed under the name uncultured bacterium. Its description in RNAcentral is "partial 16S ribosomal RNA". It matches the Rfam family "Bacterial small subunit ribosomal RNA", at positions 30 to 507 of the family's 1533-position model. The record is from RNAcentral.